GAAGGGGUGGCUGAGUGGCUUAAAGCGGUAGACUGUAAAUCUAUUGAUUAUAAUUUGAUCAUCGUAAGUUCGAAUCUUACCCCCUUUA
This 88-nucleotide transfer RNA is filed under the name Sirodotia delicatula. RNAcentral describes it as "tRNA-Tyr". It matches the Rfam family "tRNA". From Rfam's summary of the family: Transfer RNA (tRNA) molecules are approximately 80 nucleotides in length. Their secondary structure includes four short double-helical elements and three loops (D, anti-codon, and T loops). The record is from RNAcentral. Lineage: Eukaryota; Rhodophyta; Florideophyceae; Batrachospermales; Batrachospermaceae.